This is a long non-coding RNA of Aquila chrysaetos chrysaetos, 2647 nucleotides long. RefSeq lists it as uncharacterized. NCBI's taxonomy places the organism in Eukaryota, Metazoa, Chordata, Aves, Accipitriformes, Accipitridae. The record is from RefSeq and is a predicted model, not a curated record. The transcript is spliced from 2 exons.
UCCGGGACGCCUGCGGGGCCCUAGCGCCGCCGCCGCCAUUUUGUGACAGGCUCUCCGCGGAAUUCCCGCUCUGCGUUUUGGGAGGGGGCCUCGUGCUGUGGGAAGCACCGCGUGAACAAGGCGUUUGCGGUUGAGAGAGGUGUCCGUGUUCCUGUCUGCACGUACACAGAGUAAAAGCGAUGUAGCUCCCCAGUGCUGAGAGCCGUUCCUUCCAAAGUUCUGCCUUAACGAUUACAUUAUCCACCUGAAGUAUUUUGAAAUGCAUCAAACUCAAGAGGGACUCAACUGAAAUUUCAAGUUUAUUUUAAAUCAGUAGGUUUGUAACAUAAAGUCAGUAUUUGCAAAAAAGCAAGAUGCACAGAAAGUAACGUUAUUUUCACAGACUGAGGGAGGGGACAGGUGCAAACAGCAUAAAAGCGUAUUUGUAUGUUUUUAUAGUAGCGCUUUAUUCAGUCAUACCGAGCCAUACUUGCAGGAAGUACCUGUUUAAAGAAACACCCUAAAAUGUCUGUGUCAAGUUGGAAACCUUGUAGCUGCAGGAGAAAAACAAAGGGCAGUUAUUUUAGUGAAUAUUACCACAUUUUCCCUUAUGUCUGUUUACGUAAGAGACUGACAGGAGGUACAAAUACACAGGCUGGAAAGUCUCAUCGAUAGGCUGCACUGAAUAGGCUCGGGAUACUUAAAAGCAGCAUCACGUUUUCCUGUGGGACGAAGACUUGAAGCCAGGCUUUGCCGCCUUUCCCCGUUGUGGUAGGAGUAGUUGUCACCAGAUGCUGUCAGACUGCGUUUGCUGGUAUUCUGAGGAGCGCUGCAUCCUUCAGCCUCAUUUGGAGGUGCGGUGUUACCUACUACUAGUCAACUCCUGAAUUAUACCAUCUGGGGCAUCCUGGAAAUACCUCAGUGCUCUGAAGGUCAGUAUUCAAUUAAUGAUUAAAAUGAGAGGCGCAAAUGGAAUUUCAGCUUUUAAUCCUCUGGAAUUUCUCCGCUCAAAGCUACGUAAUGCUUCGUCUUCCAGGGGCCUCCAGUGCGUGGCACUAAAUCAAGAAUGGUUUGGGAUACUUGAUUCUAAUUUUUGCUUUCGUUUCAAAUGGGAAAAGGGAAAUGCCAUUAAGUAUGUAGGCUAAAUGAAAGAGAAUACAAAAGCACUCUUUGGUGAGUGACUGAUAAUAGACUGGGGCAGAUGCUUACUUUGAUAGUAACUAAACCAAUAGUGUUCAAGAGCAUAGAAUAUGACGUAUAAGAAGUGUGAAAGAAAAUAAAAAAAACUACUUAAAGGAAGACGUCAUGCUGCUAAAAGUAAAUAAAGCAAAACCUUUUUUUCCUCUCCAGCGUGGAAGUGAAUAGGUUCUUCCAGAGCCUAUUGUGUAAUGUUUGGGAUUUUGCGAGACUAAAUGAUAAACAUACGCUUACAUGGAGUUAUUUUACUACUUGCUUCAUUAAUUUACAUUAACCAUACAAACAGAAAUAUUAAUUAGAACUAGGGAUAAAACCAUGUUCCUGCCAAAAUUUUUUCCUGUCUCAAGAAAUAUUUAGUAUUAGCAAAUGUAUAGCACUGAUUUUUGUGUUCUUUUAUGUAGAAUAGGGAUCUCUUACAGUUAGUGUAUUGUGUAUAGCUUCAAUUUCUAUUUAAAAUGGAUUUAUACAGCCUUCGAAGUUCAUAUUCUUCUUCCUUAAUAAUCUUCAGCAUCACCAGCACAGAUAGCAAGUAAAGCACUCUCAUAAUGCCCUGAAGCAAAAUGCUGCAAGAAAAAAAAACACAUUUCUGUGACUGUACAUUUUCUUAAUUUUUCUUUUCUUGGUGUGUGACAAGGACUAGACUGAUGUUGUAAGGUUUUGUAAAACAUUACAGUGUUUUCAUAAGGAUUCUAGGCCAAGAUUUUUCUAAUUUCACAUACCUCAGGCUUUGGUUGCGUGGGCACCUUGAAACAAUCUACCUUUGAAAGGUUGGUUCAAACCUGUUUAAUUCUUCUGAAGUUCAAUACCAAAAAAUGAUGAGCAAUUUCUUACGGUUACUGCACAUCUUACAGUUGGAUUAUAGCAUCAUAAAAAAGGUAAAGUGUCUUAGCAAGAGUCAUUGUUCUACAAUUAAACAGUGCUUGUUUUAAGAUACAGAGCAAGAGUACAAGAGCAAUAGUUUUUCUGAAGGUUGAUACUACCUAAGCACAAGGAUAAAACCAGAUUUUUAUUUCAAUUUUGCAUGAAAGUGGUAUCAGCCUAACCUUGCAGGGCGGUGUGAAAGAAGAUGGUAUCAAUUAGUGUAGAAACUAUUCAUGCAAACUGUUCCUCAGCAUUCACUGUCCUUCCCUGUUUAUAUCCUCUUCUUGCUCUUGGGGAGGGUCAAAACCACAUAGAAUGAGAAUGAGCUGAGAAUUCACUGCUCUCUUACUGAAGUCAGCCCGAGGCACUGAAAAGAUAGCUUAUUGUUUUUAUACAUUGCCUUUUUUUUUUUUUUUUAAACCCAAGUGAUUGAAUGGAGAUUAACGCUCUGUAUUUUUCUGGUAGGGCUUGGCACAGUCUAUGUGGUGCCAGUGCUGAACAGAUGCAAAAGUCUGUAAAAACUUACUUUAAUGUCAUGAAAGAGUGAUUUCCCAUAUCUCUCUUUGUAUCGCUGUCGUAUAUUCAUCAAGUCAAUCUCACUCCUGGCAAU